GGACGAACGCUGGCGGCGUGCUUACCCCAUGCAAGUCGAACGCUGAAGCUUGGUGCUUGCACUGGGUGGAUGAGUGGCGAACGGGUGAGUAAUACGUGAGUAACCUGCCCUUGACUCUGGGAUAAGCCUGGGAAACUGGGUCUAAUACUGGAUACGACAUGUCACCGCAUGGUGGUGUGUGGAAAGGGUUUUACUGGUUUUGGAUGGGCUCACGGCCUAUCAGCUUGUUGGUGGGGUAAUGGCUCACCAAGGCGACGACGGGUAGCCGGCCUGAGAGGGUGACCGGCCACACUGGGACUGAGACACGGCCCAGACUCCUACGGGAGGCAGCAGUGGGGAAUAUUGCACAAUGGGCGGAAGCCUGAUGCAGCGACGCCGCGUGAGGGAUGACGGCCUUCGGGUUGUAAACCUCUUUCAGCACGGAAGAAGCGAAAGUGACGGUACGUGCAGAAGAAGCGCCGGCUAACUACGUG
RNAcentral lists this ribosomal RNA (473 nucleotides) under uncultured bacterium. RNAcentral describes it as "partial 16S ribosomal RNA". It matches the Rfam family "Bacterial small subunit ribosomal RNA", at positions 27 to 507 of the family's 1533-position model. The record is from RNAcentral.